UCUAUGGCCUUACCACCAUGAACACACCCAAUCUUGUCUGAUCUUGGAAGCUAAGCAGGAUUCGGGCCUGGUAAGUACUUGGAUAGCCCAAAAAAGAUAUGUUUUGAUCAACCUAGAGCUGAUAUAA
RNAcentral lists this ribosomal RNA (127 nucleotides) under Octodon degus (degu). Lineage: Eukaryota; Metazoa; Chordata; Mammalia; Rodentia; Octodontidae. The record is from RNAcentral.